Molecule: ribosomal RNA, 497 nt
Filed under: uncultured bacterium
Lineage: Bacteria
Description: partial 16S ribosomal RNA
Rfam family: Bacterial small subunit ribosomal RNA
Source: RNAcentral
GAUGAACGCUGGCGGCGUGCCUAAUACAUGCAAGUCGAGCGAACAGACGAGGAGCUUGCUCCUCGGACGUUAGCGGAGGACGUGUGAGUAACACGUGGAUAACCUACCUAUAAGACUGGGAUAACUUCGGGAAACCGGAUCUAAUACCGGAGAAUAUAUUGAACCGCAUUGUUCAAUAGUGAGAGACGGUUUUGCUGGCAGUUAUAGAUGGAUACGCGCUGCAUUAGAUAGUUGGUAAGGUAACGGGUUACCAAGGGAACUAGGCGUAGACGACCGAACAGGGUGAUAGCCCACCUUGGAACUGGGACAGCGUCAAGACGCCUACGGGAGGGAGCAGUAGCGAACCUGCCGCAAUGGUCGAAAGCCUGACGGAGCAACGCGGAGUGUGUUAUGAAGGUCUUCGGAUCGUAAAACUGGCUUAUUAGGGAAGAACAAAUGUGGACGUAGCUAUGCACGUAUUGACGGUACCUGGUCAGAAAGCCACGGCUAACUACGUG